UACGUAGGUGGCGAGCGUUGUCCGGAUUUACUGGGCGUAAAGGGAGCGUAGGCGGAUUUUUAAGUGAGAUGUGAAAUACUCGGGCUCAACUUGAGUGCUGCAUUUCAAACUGGAAGUCUAGAGUGCAGGAGAGGAGAGUGGAAUUCCAUGUGUAGCGGUGAAAUGCGUAGAUAUAUGGAGGAACACCGGUGGCGAAAGCGGCUCUCUGGCCUGUAACUGACACUGAGGCUCGAAAGCGUGGGGAGCAAACAGG
RNAcentral lists this ribosomal RNA (253 nucleotides) under uncultured bacterium. RNAcentral describes it as "partial 16S ribosomal RNA". It matches the Rfam family "Bacterial small subunit ribosomal RNA", at positions 524 to 776 of the family's 1533-position model. The record is from RNAcentral.